UGCAGAGGAAGGAGUGGCUAAGAAAGGAUACACAGCCUGGGAAAGAGCUGGAAAUGGGAGUCAAGGAGGGAGAUGCUGGCACCAGACAAGGGCAGUGUUCAGAAGUGAUUGAGACCACGGGCCUCACAAAGCUGGGCUCCUGUAGAGAGAGUGGCAAGAACGACGGUUCGAGUGCUCAAAGCGAAAGGAAUAUUCCGGGGAAGACGCAUGGAGAGGAGUCUUUUACUGUGACACAUUUUUUAAAGAGGAAACACAC
RNAcentral lists this long non-coding RNA (256 nucleotides) under Fukomys damarensis (Damara mole-rat). RNAcentral's name for it is "lncRNA (ENSFDAG00000032303.1)". Lineage: Eukaryota; Metazoa; Chordata; Mammalia; Rodentia; Bathyergidae. The record is from RNAcentral.